AUGGAGCACCUGGUGGAGCACAUGCGCGCGUCGCACCACUCGCCGCACGAGCCGCGCUGCGGCGUCUGCGGGAAGCACUGCCGCUCGCUCGACGCCCUCCGCGACCACCUCGGCUUCGGCGCCUCCCUGCCCCCAAAGCCCGCCUGCGCCACGGCCUUCGCUGCCAAGGGCUGCUCGCUCUGCCUCGCCGUCUUCCCUAGCUCCGGCUCCCUCCGCGCCCACAGCCCAACCUGUCACCACUCCCGCGCCCCGGUUCCCUCGAGGUCCAUGCCAAGAGUGCCCGUCGGUGGUGUGGUGGCGCUGGGCUGCAAGAUGGUGGGCGGCGGCAGCGACGGGACGCUGGACGUUUGCGGGCGCGUCUGCGUCAUCGACGAGAAUGAGGCCAUCGUCUUCGAGAACUUUGUGAGGCCGCUCCUCCCGGUGACGCACUACCGGUACGAGACCACGGGGAUCCGCCCUGAGUACCUGCGGGACGCGCCGACGGUGAAGAUGAUGCAGCGGCAGGUGGAAGCCAUCCUCCUCAACGGCGAGCAGCCGUGGAAGGUCAGGUCCUCCCGCGGCGCGGCCAGGCUCCUCGUCGGCCACGGCCUGGAGCACGAUCUCGACGCGCUGGGCAUGGACUACCCGGCGUACCUGAAGCGGGACACGGCGGAAUAUCCGCCGCUGAUGAAGACGAGCGGCAGGCUGAUGAGCAACUCGCUCCGGUUCCUCACACAGAGCUGCCUCGGCUACGACAUCCAGACGGGCCACCAGCACCCCUACGAGGACUGCGUGGCGGCCAUGCGGCUGUACAAGAGAAUGAGCUCGAUGAGGCACGGCCCGCCGAAGAACGGGGGCGAAGACGAUGCGUGCGCGGCGGUGGCAUUCCCGGCGCGGAGGCAGCGGGAGCUGGAGCGCAUGUCGCCGGAGGAGCUCCUCAGCAUGUCCAAGCCGGACUAUCACUGCUGGUGCCUCGACGACUAG
This 963-nucleotide ribosomal RNA is filed under the name Triticum aestivum (bread wheat). RNAcentral's name for it is "partial small subunit ribosomal RNA". The record is from RNAcentral. Lineage: Eukaryota; Viridiplantae; Streptophyta; Magnoliopsida; Poales; Poaceae.